GUCCUCACUUUGGCAGCACAUUUACUAAAACUGGAAGCAUGCAGGGAAGAUGAUUAGCACAGUAUCUGUGCAAAGAUGGCACACAAGUUCGUAAAGCGUUCCAUAUUGUA
This 110-nucleotide small nuclear RNA is filed under the name Carlito syrichta (Philippine tarsier). The record is from RNAcentral. Lineage: Eukaryota; Metazoa; Chordata; Mammalia; Primates; Tarsiidae.